CUCGAGAGUUCGAGAGUUAAGUUUAUUGUGUACCGUGCUGGUGGUACGACAUGUACGUAUACCUAUAGUUUGUAUACGCGAUAAAAGAUUUAUCCACGCCAAAAUGAGAUAACUAAAUAUUGUGAGUGGCGAAAUAAAUAUCAACCUUCAUCGGGAACAAGCACAAGAUCUGCGGAAAUGUUUUUGUAUACGGAACUCUGUACAGGUAAAAUUUAAUAGCGGAAACUGAUACGUGCGUAAGUGUAUGUGUAGAUGAAUCUAAUAGACAUUACAAGAAUUGCAAUCCAAUUAAAUACGAUCUAUUGAUUUAAAUAUUUAUGUAGAAAUUUUUAGCAUCAGAGUGGGUGACGUUUGUGUUAAUGUUUUUACAUAAAGUAAAUAAAAUAGAAAACAGAUUAGAAAAAAUAAACAAUUUAUUAUAAAUUAAAAAAAAAAAUGUAGUUGAGUGGCAACAAUAAAAUGCACAAGUAAAGGAUACGGCACAUUUAUUAUCUCUAAUAGUUUUUUUUUCAUUCUGUUUUCUUUUCCUUCCUUUUUCUUUUUAAGCAAUGUUUCGUAAAUUGACAAAUGUUUAUAUUAUGCAUGUUAGCAUUAUAAAACUACAAAUGUGUUAAGAUGAAUUAGUAAAACAUGAAAUUCUAAACGACGCGUUUGACAAAAUACAAAAUAUUUGAUAUAUAUGUUUUACUUCAGUAAAAAUAAGUUUAUCAUUGUAUCGGUCAAUUAUUAUGUUUUCUUUUGUUGAUGAUGAUAGCAAUGCGGAUAUUAUCGCAUACAAUAAAUUAUUUAUAAGUUAAUGAAACGACUAUAAACUGAAUCUCACAUGCAUUAUAAACUUCAAUAAAUUUUGUUAAAAAAAUUAUGCUCUUUAUUUGGGUUUUUUUUUAACGUUAUUACGUUUACAUGGUUAGCCCAUGUGUAAUUAUUCACAAUACAUUGCGCAAGAUUCCAAUUAUGUGUAAGUGAUUUCGAUUCAACCAUAAUGAGAUUACGCGGAACGCACAAGUUCCAAAAAACAAUUCGAUUCUCGUGAUAAUUGCGUAUGUGUGUCAAGUACAUAAAACUAUAUUAAUAAUAUACUUUAAAAAUAUCA
Pseudomyrmex gracilis is the source of this 1093-nucleotide long non-coding RNA. RefSeq lists it as uncharacterized. The record is from RefSeq and is a predicted model, not a curated record. The transcript is spliced from 4 exons. NCBI's taxonomy places the organism in Eukaryota, Metazoa, Arthropoda, Insecta, Hymenoptera, Formicidae.